CGGUACCAAUAUUCAUUUAAAUAACUGUAAAAGCAUUGGAAAUUGUUUUAUUUUUUUAGGGUGUAUUGACAUGCAUGACAACAUUAACAGGGCCGUCCACGACAACAUCGAAGCAACAGCUGUGGUGUCUUUGUCCUAAUGUAUUCACUGAGCUUUGUGACAGCAGGGGCCUUUGAUUUUACGGAGGCUGACAUGCCUUGCAUCAGGAGGUGGUGGUGUCUGCUACUUUUGGAAAAUUUCCCCUUGAG
This is a non-coding RNA of Misgurnus anguillicaudatus (oriental weatherfish), 248 nucleotides long. The record is from RefSeq and is a predicted model, not a curated record. NCBI's taxonomy places the organism in Eukaryota, Metazoa, Chordata, Actinopteri, Cypriniformes, Cobitidae.